Molecule: long non-coding RNA, 555 nt
Organism: Rhineura floridana
Lineage: Eukaryota; Metazoa; Chordata; Lepidosauria; Squamata; Rhineuridae
Exons: 3
Source: RefSeq, a predicted model, not a curated record
CUAGGUUGCCCAUGAGAGCAGGGAGGCCAAGGAAGAAUCAGGAGAUGAUAGGUGGAGUGAGCUGAGAAGCAAUCUGCUACCAGAUCCAGUCUUCUUCAAGGAACAUAAAAAGCAAAGGCAGCAUCUACAACCAGAGGAAGGCGAUUUUCUACCACCUGAUGAUGGACUUUGCAUUCUGAGGGUUACUUCCCCUCCAUCUACCAGGCCUUCUGCAAAUCUACUCAUGGAAGGAGCAAAUGGAUAGAGGCCACCCAUUGAAGCAUCACCACAAAGGUGACAAACCACCCACCAAAAAUGUGCUAAGGUGAUGUCACCAACCUGGUGCCUGCAAAUACCCCAUGGCACCUGCAAAGACCUUCAAGAGUGACCCUGGAAGGUAGCCCAGAAUCUGAGUUCUCAUUUUUUUAAAAAGAGUAAGUCUCUAGCCCUCCCAGAAGGAAAGUUAUGGAGCAAACCUUGCAAAUACCCUUCUAAGCCAUUUCUGUUAAAUGAGCCAGCUCGGCUACUCCCACCUGUCAGCAGUGCCAUAACUAGGCAGGUGCAACAGGUGCACAA